Molecule: ribosomal RNA, 497 nt
Filed under: uncultured bacterium
Lineage: Bacteria
Description: partial 16S ribosomal RNA
Rfam family: Bacterial small subunit ribosomal RNA
Source: RNAcentral
GAUGAACGCUGGCGGCGUGCCUAAUACAUGCAAGUCGAGCGAACAGACGAGGAGCUUGCUCCUCUGACGUUAGCGGCUGACGGGUGAGUAACACGUGGAUAACCUACCUAUAAGACUGGGAUAACUUCGGGAAACCGGAGCUAAUACCGGAUAAUAUAUUGAACCGCAUGGUUCAAUAGUGAAAGACGGUUUUGCUUUCACUUAUAGAUGGAUCCGCGCCGCAUUAGCUAGUUGGUAAGGUAACGGCUUACCAAGGCGACGAUGCGUAGCCGACCUGAGAGGGUGAUCGGCCACACUGGAACUGAGACACGGUCCAGACUCCUACGGGAGGCAGCAGUAGGGAAUCUUCCGCAAUGGGCGAAAGCCUGACGGAGCAACGCCGCGUGAGUGAUGAAGGUCUUCGGAUCGUAAAACUCUGUUAUUAGGGAAGAACAAAUGUGUAAGUAACUAUGCACGUCUUGACGGUACCUAAUCAGAAAGCCACGGCUAACUACGUG